AUGUGGAAAGACUUCCAUCUUUGUUUUCCAACAAAUCUCAUCAAGCCCUCCUCCGAGGCCGCCGCCUCCUCCCAAGAACCGAACCGGCCAUCCAUUCUUCUCAUCAACAACUUCAACCACCUUUACGACGAUUCCACAGCCACCGGUCGCCGCCCGGCCAUCCAUUCCUCUCAUCAACAACUUCAACCACCUUUACGACGAUUCCACAGCCACCGGUCGCCGCAUAUCUAAGCCUAUUAUUGAAGUCAUUCCACCUUCCUCCAUUACAACCGCCACGACAUUCACUGCCUCC
Molecule: long non-coding RNA, 292 nt
Filed under: Brassica napus (rape)
Lineage: Eukaryota; Viridiplantae; Streptophyta; Magnoliopsida; Brassicales; Brassicaceae
Description: long non-coding RNA (BNAP_LNC008605)
Source: RNAcentral